CAAGUGCGUAGGCAUAGAGCCUACGCUUUUGUCCACCGUAGGGAGGUGGACGAAUAAGGGCUGGGCAAGACCGGUGCCAGCCGCCGCGGUAAUACCGGCAGCCCGAGUGAUGGCCGAUCUUAUUGGGCCUAAAGCGUCCGUAGCUGGCCGCGCAAGUCUAUCGGAAAAUCCACCCGCUCAACGGGUGGGCGUCCGGUAGAAACUGCGUGGCUUGGGACCGGAAGGCGCGACGGGUACGUCCGGGGUAGGAGUGAAAUCCUGUAAUCCUGGACGGACCGCCGAUGGCGAAAGCACGUCGCGAGAACGGAUCCGACAGUGAGGGACGAAAGCUAGGGUCUCGAACCGGAUUAGAUACCCGGGUAGUCCUAGCCGUAAACAAUGCCUGCUAGGUGUGGCUCCCACUACGAGUGGGUGCUGUGCCGUAGGGAAGCCGCUAAGCAGGCCGCCUGGGAAGUACGUCCGCAAGGAUGAAACUUAAAGGAAUUGGCGGGGGAGCACUACAACCAGAGGAGCCUGCGGUUUAAUUGGACUCAACGCCGGACAUCUCACCAGCAUCGACUGUAGUAAUGACGAUCAGGUUGAUGACCUUAUCCGAGCUUCAGAGAGGAGGUGCAUGGCCGCCGUCAGCUCGUACCGUGAGGCGUCCUGUUAAGUCAGGCAACGAGCGAGACCCGCAUCCUUACUUGCCAGCAGCACUGCGAAGUGGCUGGGGACAGUAGGGAGACCGCCGUGGCCAACACGGAGGAAGGAACGGGCAACGGUAGGUCAGUAUGCCCCGAAUGUGCUGGGCAACACGCGGGCUACAAUGGUCAGGACAAAGGGUUCCUACUCCGAAAGGAGACGGUAAUCUCAGAAACCUGAUCGUAGUUCGGAUUGUGGGCUGCAACUCGCCCACAUGA
Molecule: ribosomal RNA, 899 nt
Filed under: uncultured Halobacteria archaeon
Lineage: Archaea; Methanobacteriati; Methanobacteriota; Halobacteria
Description: bacterial SSU rRNA
Rfam family: Archaeal small subunit ribosomal RNA
Source: RNAcentral